Molecule: ribosomal RNA, 389 nt
Filed under: Prymnesiophyceae sp.
Lineage: Eukaryota; Haptophyta
Description: partial small subunit ribosomal RNA
Rfam family: Eukaryotic small subunit ribosomal RNA
Source: RNAcentral
AUUCCAGCUCCAAUAGCGUAUAUUAAAGUUGUUGCAGUUAAAACGCUCGUAGUCGGAUUUCAAUGCGGGUUGACCGGUCUGCCGAUGGGUAUGCACUGGUCGGCGCGUCCUUCCUUCCGGAGACCGUGCCUACUCUUAACUGAGCGGGGGCGGGAGACGGAUCGUUUACUUUGAAAAAAUCAGAGUGUUUCAAGCAGGCAGCUCGCUCUUGCAUGGAUUAGCAUGGGAUAAUGAAAUAGGACUUUGGUGCUAUUUUGUUGGUUUCGAACACCGAAGUAAUGAUUAACAGGGACAGUCAGGGGCACUCGUAUUCCGCCGAGAGAGGUGAAAUUCUCAGACCAGCGGAAGACGAACCACUGCGAAAGCAUUUGCCAGGGAUGUUUUCAUUA